CGUGAUGGGGCUGCUACUGCUGCUGAAUCUGGGUGCAGCAGUGCAGGAUGUGGCUCUGGACACACUCGCUGUGCAACUCCUAGAGCCAAAGGAGUUGGGACCCGGGAACACUGUACAGUUCCCAUCCCAGGCAGCCACUGAAGCUGUUGAGGUCAGUGCUGCAGCUUCGACUUGGGGGUUUGGCCUGCCAGACCGCUCUGCUCCUCCACCUCAACACCCCAGGGGCCAGUCUGGACCCUGGCACAGUCAUGAGAGGAGCAGCUUUGCUGAGCCUAUGUCUACAACAAUUUCUGGGGGGUGUGGUCACUACUGCCACAUUCACUGUGAUGAUGCACUGUAGCCAGCUGGCACCCAGAGCCCUGCAGGCCACACAUUAUAGCUUCCUGGCCACGCUAGAACUGCUGGGCAAGCUGCUCCCAGGCACCCUGGCUGGAGUGCUGGCUGAUGGCCUGGGCCCCCGUCUCUGCUUCGCUGCCUUCCUUGUACUCUCAGCCCUGCCCGUUCUGGAUCUCCGCCUGGCACCCAGUAACCUGACCUGAGCUGGACCUCAGGGUUGUGUGUAAAGCCAGUGAAGCUCUGGAUGGCCUGGACGGCCAGGACACAGAAACGCAGCUAUCCGCAAACCGAGGGCUGUGUUCCCAGAAAGCACAUAAAGUUACUGAAGGCUC
RNAcentral lists this long non-coding RNA (668 nucleotides) under Rattus norvegicus (Norway rat). Its description in RNAcentral is "long non-coding RNA NONRATT026075". The record is from RNAcentral. Lineage: Eukaryota; Metazoa; Chordata; Mammalia; Rodentia; Muridae.